ACAUCUUGAUACAAGUUCAUCUCUUCAUCAUCAUCAUGAUUUGAUGAGACAGUUUUCGGUAUCCUCUGCCCCUCGAAAGCAGCUGAAGAAGUGGCUGCAAAUGGUUUCUUUGGAUCUGCUCAGCUGAAUCUUGGCCACGAUAUGAGAUUCGAUGGCGUGUUCUGCCGCGUAAGCUGCAUCUGCAAUACGCAUCUCCAAUGGAUCUGCUUCGUCGCCGUCGGAAACAGGGGAGAUAUAAGCUUCGAGAAACUCCUGCAAGAACGUGACAUUUUCAGUGAGAGAUUGAACUUGUUGUUUGUUGAGAGAAAUUGGAGGGGAAUGAUGGCGCUCGAUGUCGUCUAUGAUAUGAAUUAGAGAAACCAAAGCUGCGUAGGCUGCCAUGAUCGAUAUCAGUUGAAGGGAAAUAGAGUAUAAUUAUGAGAAUUUUGGAUAAGAAUUUGAUAGACUUAAUUGAGCUUCUUAUACUAACACAAUGG
RNAcentral lists this long non-coding RNA (476 nucleotides) under Salvia miltiorrhiza (redroot sage). RNAcentral's name for it is "long non-coding RNA (SMIL_LNC012626)". Lineage: Eukaryota; Viridiplantae; Streptophyta; Magnoliopsida; Lamiales; Lamiaceae. The record is from RNAcentral.